CGCAACGCGAAGAACCUUACCAAGGCUUGACAUAUAGCGAAAAGUGGCAGAGAUGUCAUGUCCGCAAGGGCGCUAUACAGGUGGUGCAUGGUUGUCGUCAGCUCGUGUCGUGAGAUGUUGGGUUAAGUCCCGCAACGAGCGCAACCCUCGUUCUGUGUUACCAGCAUUCAGUUGGGGACUCACAGGAGACUGCCGGGGUCAACUCGGAGGAAGGUGGGGAUGACGUCAAAUCAUCAUGCCCCUCAUGCCUUGGGCUGCACGCAUGCUACAAUGGCCGGUACAAAGUGCUGCGAGAUCGCAAGAUUGAGCGAAUCACAUAAAGCCGGUCUCAGUUCGGAUUGAGGUCUGCAACUCGACCUCAUGAAGUCGGAGUUGCUAGUAAUCGUAGAUCAGCAACGCUA
This 401-nucleotide ribosomal RNA is filed under the name uncultured bacterium. Its description in RNAcentral is "bacterial SSU rRNA". It matches the Rfam family "Bacterial small subunit ribosomal RNA", at positions 955 to 1359 of the family's 1533-position model. The record is from RNAcentral.